This 214-nucleotide unclassified non-coding RNA is filed under the name Hevea brasiliensis (rubber tree). Lineage: Eukaryota; Viridiplantae; Streptophyta; Magnoliopsida; Malpighiales; Euphorbiaceae. The record is from RNAcentral.
CAUCUACAUUGGUUUGAUCAGAUGAUGCCCGACUGAGAAUUCGUCCUGAAGGUGUAGUGUCAAAGAACGACAUGGGAGCACGAAGGAUACAGUUCAGAAUCUGCUUGAAAAAGGACUGAGCAGUCGCAAGCCCUAAAAAUGCAACAAGGAAGGCCCUCAUGGCCACAAGGAUUAUGGAGAGUAGGGCAAUAAUAGCAUAGACUUCAAUAAACAG